This 544-nucleotide ribosomal RNA is filed under the name uncultured eukaryote. RNAcentral's name for it is "bacterial SSU rRNA". It matches the Rfam family "Eukaryotic small subunit ribosomal RNA", at positions 577 to 1139 of the family's 1831-position model. The record is from RNAcentral.
CGGUAAUUCCAGCUCCAAUAGCGUAUAUUAAAGUUGUUGCUGUUAAAAAGCUCGUAGUUGAACUUCUGACAGCGGGCAGGUUUGGCUUUGGCCAGCCUGUUCGUUGUCAUCCGUCUGCAAACCUUGUACGUCCUUCAGUGGUUCGGCAAGGGGAGUAGACAAUUUACUUUGAAAAAAUUAGAGUGUUCAAAGCAGGUAUUAGCCUGAAUACUUUAGCAUGGAAUAAUGGAAUACGACUCUUGUCUAUUUAUGUUGGUUAUUAGACUUGAGUAAUGAUUAAUAGGGACAGUUGAAGGCAUUAGUACUUAAUUGUCAGAGGUGAAAUUCAUGGAUUUAUUAAAGACUAACUAAUGCGAAAGCAUUUGCCAAGGAUGUUUUCAUUAAUCAAGAAUGAAAGUUCGAGGAUAGACAGCGAUCAGACACCACUUUAUUUCGAACUAUAAACUAUACCGAUUUGAGAUAGCCAAUUUUAAUCGAAUAAUUGGCUGCAUCACAUGAGAAAUCCAAAUCUUUGGGUUCUGGGGGGAGUAUGGUCGCAGGAUUG